Molecule: ribosomal RNA, 1001 nt
Filed under: Bacillus pumilus
Lineage: Bacteria; Bacillati; Bacillota; Bacilli; Caryophanales; Bacillaceae
Description: bacterial SSU rRNA
Rfam family: Bacterial small subunit ribosomal RNA
Source: RNAcentral
CUAUACUGCAGUCGAGCGGACAGAAGGGAGCUGCUCCCGGAUGUAGCGGCGGACGGGUGAGUAACACGUGGGUAACUGCUGUAAGACUGGGAUAACUCCGGGAAACCGGAGCUAAUACCGGAUAGUUCCCUGAACCGCAUGGUUCAAGGAUGAAAGACGGUUUCGGCUGUCACUUACAGAUGGACCGCGGCGCAUAGCUAGUUGGUGAGGUAACGGCUCACCAGGCGACGAUGCGUAGCCGACCUGAGAGGGUGAUCGGCCACACUGGGACUGAGACACGGCCCAGACUCCUACGGGAGGCAGCAGUAGGGAAUCUUCCGCAAUGGACGAAAGUCUGACGGAGCAACGCCGCGUGAGUGAUGAAGGUUUUCGGAUCGUAAAGCUCUGUUGUUAGGGAAGAACAAGUGCAAGAGUAACUGCUUGCACCUUGACGGUACCUAACCAGAAAGCCACGGCUAACUACGUGCCAGCAGCCGCGGUAAUACGUAGGUGGCAAGCGUUGUCCGGAAUUAUUGGGCGUAAAGGGCUCGCAGGCGGUUUCUUAAGUCUGAUGUGAAAGCCCCCGGCUCAACCGGGGAGGGUCAUUGGAAACUGGGAAACUUGAGUGCAGAAGAGGAGAGUGGAAUUCCACGUGUAGCGGUGAAAUGCGUAGAGAUGUGGAGGAACACCAGUGGCGAAGGCGACUCUCUGGUCUGUAACUGACGCUGAGGAGCGAAAGCGUGGGGAGCGAACAGGAUUAGAUACCCUGGUAGUCCACGCCGUAAACGAUGAGUGCUAAGUGUUAGGGGGUUUCCGCCCCUUAGUGCUGCAGCUAACGCAUUAAGCACUCCGCCUGGGGAGUACGGUCGCAAGACUGAAACUCAAAGGAAUUGACGGGGGCCCGCACAAGCGGUGGAGCAUGUGGUUUAAUUCGAAGCAACGCGAAGAACCUUACCAGGUCUUGACAUCCUCUGACAACCCUAGAGAUAGGGCUUUCCCUUCGGGGACAGAGUGACAGGUGG